RNAcentral lists this signal recognition particle RNA (266 nucleotides) under Bacillota bacterium. RNAcentral's name for it is "signal recognition particle sRNA large type". It matches the Rfam family "Bacterial large signal recognition particle RNA". From Rfam's summary of the family: The signal recognition particle (SRP) is a universally conserved ribonucleoprotein involved in the co-translational targeting of proteins to membranes. Archaeal SRP consists of a 7S RNA and homologues of the eukaryotic SRP19 and SRP54 proteins. The record is from RNAcentral. Lineage: Bacteria; Bacillati; Bacillota.
CCGUGCUAGACGGGGAGGUAGCGGUGCCCUGUACCCGCAAUCCGCUGCAGCGGGGUCGAAUUCCCGUCGUGAGGUUUGUCUUAUGUGGGGUCUGGCCGGAGUAAGUGGUGUUGACGAGUGGGUCUUGCGCAACGGAACCUUGUGAACCCCGUCAGGUCCGGGAGGAAGCAGCGGUAAGCAAGUCCUUCCGUGUGCCGCAAGGGUGCCUGCUAAGAGCUAACUGCUUCGGUAUCGCCCGGAUAAGCAAAUCGAUGACGGGUGCACGG